This 669-nucleotide long non-coding RNA is filed under the name Triticum aestivum (bread wheat). RNAcentral's name for it is "long non-coding RNA (TAES_LNC018744)". The record is from RNAcentral. Lineage: Eukaryota; Viridiplantae; Streptophyta; Magnoliopsida; Poales; Poaceae.
AGCUACGAGCAUCCAUCAUCCGUGCAUGGCCAGCUUCGUCCACCGUACCAUGGAUCUAUCUAGCCUAGCUUGGUUAAACAUCGACGGUCUCAAGACGUGCGUGUAUGCGUGUGUGUGUGCUUGCAGGGAAGCUCUACCAUGACAUGAGCACGGCGGGCGGGCUGGUGGCCGUGGCGCUGGCACACGCGCUGGCGCUGGCCGUGGCGGUGUCCGUGGCCGUGAACAUCUCCGGGGGCCACGUCAACCCGGCCAUCACCUUCGGCGCGCUGCUCGGCGGCCGCAUCACCCUCGUGCGCGCCCUCUUCUACUGGAUCGCGCAGCUCCUCGGCGCCAUCGUCGCCUCCCUCCUCCUCCGCCUCACCACCGGAGGCAUGGUACUACUAUCUUUCUUCGAUCUUCCUCGCCAGCACCAUCUAUCUAAUUAAUCACAGCAGAAGCUAAUUAAUCGAUCUUGUGAUGGCGUUCGCAGCGGCCGCCCGGUUUCUCCCUGGCGUCGGGGGUGGGGGACUGGCACGCGGUGCUGCUGGAGGCGGUGAUGACGUUCGGCCUCAUGUACGCCUACUACGCGACGCUGAUCGACCCCAAGAGGGGCCACGUGGGCACCAUCGGGCCGCUCGCCGUGGGGUUCCUGCUCGGGGCUAACAUACUCGCCGGCGGGCCGUUCGAUGG